This 76-nucleotide transfer RNA is filed under the name Tissierellia bacterium. RNAcentral describes it as "tRNA-Lys". It matches the Rfam family "tRNA". Rfam says of the family: Transfer RNA (tRNA) molecules are approximately 80 nucleotides in length. Their secondary structure includes four short double-helical elements and three loops (D, anti-codon, and T loops). Lineage: Bacteria; Bacillati; Bacillota; Tissierellia. The record is from RNAcentral.
GUGCCAUUAGCUCAGCUGGUAGAGCACCUGACUCUUAAUCAGGGCGUCCAGGGUUCGAUUCCCUGAUGGCGCACCA